GAAAAAACAGGCAUGCUUACCGAAGCGAUGGAAGAAUACAAGAAUCCAGUGAAGAACAAAAAGCACUGCUGCAGCAUGUGUCAUCAUUACCAUAGAGGAAGGUACCUGCCAACUGCCAAUCAUGGAUCUAUGUGAUAAGACGUCACACAGACUGAACAUCCAGAUGAUACAGAUACAAAUGCAAUCAACCACACCAAGCCAUCUUCCUCCAUUCCUUUAUGGUACAGUUCUGAUAAUUUGGAGUUUCGGUGUGGUGGACAGAGGUCAGCUGGAAAAAGCUCAGGAUACCGUGAGCAUUUUGCAGUUUUAAACACUUCAAAUAUGGCUUCAAAUAUAACAAACUGGGCAGUUUUUCUGCUGGAUCAGAACAACACGGUCCAGGCUUGACAAGAUCCUCAAUCAUCUGGGUCUUGAUUUUCUCACUUGGAUUAUAUUCAAUAGCUACCACAGAGCUGCUGCAGUACAGGAAAUGCCCAGCUGUAUUCAAACUUUACAGUUUAGUUCCUGUUAACAUAUGAACUUUAUGUAGUAAUACAGCAAUAAAACACAAAUACAUUUAUUUUCCUGUCCAUGUCCAUGUCAAACAGCUGUUUAGUUGUAAAUGGGAAUGGUAACUUUUAGUUGUCAACCUGGUGUGACAUUUAAUGAGUUAUUCAUCAUUACGCAUCUUUAUUCAUAACUAUAAGGGAUUCAUAACAAUAAGGGAGACAAAAUCCAUUACAUUUAUUCUCACGUAGAUUUUCAUCAUGUUAUGAUAUAAAGUUGGUGCAUCGACAGUAUCAGGUUUACUCUGAAGUAGGUAGCCAGAAACAGCACCUUUGUCCUCUGUGGUUGAGAUGUACAUUCUGCAUGUUGGUAACUGUCUUCUGUGCACCAUCUGUACCUGCAGCUUGGCUUGUAUCAUUAACCAAACCACAGAGAAGUCAGCAGGGACCAAACGGCAGCAGUUGCUUUACAACAUACAAACACACACAAUCGCAUAAUAAUUCAGUCAUGAGAAAAUCUGCUAUGGUUAACUCAGAAGUGAAGAAGGUUAUUGUAAAUUCUUACAGCUUAAACACAUUAACCUUGUGAAAAACAUGGAUAGGUGCAUUGCUGCAUUGCACCACAUGACUACUUUUCACCUGUAGUUACUUGCAGAUAGUUGUUACAAUAAAAUAUGUAAAUAGAAACACAAAUUAAGCAGUUCCACAAAGUUUUAAAUAUUCAUUUCAUAAUAAACUGCAGCAUCUUUAUCUUGUCAGUAAAUGCCCUUUAUUCACAAAAUAUUUUCCUGCUUCUGGAAACAGUUAGUGAAAUUGCAGCACAGGAACUUGUUUCCAAUCCAGGUCCAGUCUGAUAAUGUACCUUUAUUGGAGCAAAUGGUUCUUGUAGAGUAGAGCUGAUGCUUUUUGUGUCUUUGCUCUGUGCUUUACUGUAGAGGGUCGUGUACAAAAUGUAUUUAUUUGUUUUUUUGUUGUUUGUUUUUAUUAUGUAUCACCUCUCAGUGUUAUGUUUAGCUGUAGUCCUGCUAUUCCUGUUUUAUUUCUGUUUAUAGUUCAAUGAUGAGUUUUUGGUACCAAAACGGAACUAACCCAUAGAUAAGAAUACUAAAUGGGUGGUUAAAGUUUUGGUUUUGUUUAUGCAGCAGUUAUUACAAAAUUGUUGCUAUAAAUUUAAAACAUCUGGAUAAUAAAAUUUAAA
Long non-coding RNA from Girardinichthys multiradiatus, 1683 nucleotides. RefSeq lists it as uncharacterized. The record is from RefSeq and is a predicted model, not a curated record. Lineage: Eukaryota; Metazoa; Chordata; Actinopteri; Cyprinodontiformes; Goodeidae. The transcript is spliced from 3 exons.